This 472-nucleotide ribosomal RNA is filed under the name uncultured organism. RNAcentral describes it as "partial 16S ribosomal RNA". It matches the Rfam family "Bacterial small subunit ribosomal RNA", at positions 334 to 797 of the family's 1533-position model. The record is from RNAcentral.
CACUCCUGCGGGAGGCAGCAGUGGGGAAUUUUGGACAAUGGGCGAAAGCCUGAUCCAGCAAUGCCGCGUGAGUGAAGAAGGCCUUCGGGUUGUAAAGCUCUUUUGUCAGGGAAGAAACGGUGAAAGCUAAUAUCUUUUGCUAAUGACGGUACCUGAAGAAUAAGCACCGGCUAACUACGUGCCAGCAGCCGCGGUAAUACGUAGGGUGCAAGCGUUAAUCGGAAUUACUGGGCGUAAAGCGUGCGCAGGCGGUUUUGUAAGUCUGAUGUGAAAUCCCCGGGCUCAACCUGGGAAUUGCAUUGGAGACUGCAAGGCUAGAAUCUGGCAGAGGGGGGUGGAAUUCCACGUGUAGCAGUGAAAUGCGUAGAUAUGUGGAGGAACACCGAUUGCGAAGGCAGCCCCCUGGGUCAAGAUUGACGCUCAUGCACGAAAGCGUGGGGAGCAAACAGGAUUAGAAACCCCAGUAGUCCCA